RNAcentral lists this ribosomal RNA (584 nucleotides) under uncultured bacterium. RNAcentral's name for it is "partial 16S ribosomal RNA". It matches the Rfam family "Bacterial small subunit ribosomal RNA", at positions 355 to 1375 of the family's 1533-position model. The record is from RNAcentral.
UGGGGAAUUUUGGACAAUGGGCGAAAGCCUGAUCCAGCAAUGCCGCGUGUGUGAAGAAGGCCUUCGGGUUGUAAAGCACUUUUGUCCGGAAAGAAAUCCUUGGCUCUAAUACAGUCGGGGGAUGACGGUACCGGAAGAAUAAGCACCGGCUAACUACGUGCCAGCAGCCGCGGUAAUACGUAGGGUGCAAGCGUUAAUCGGAAUUACUGGGCGUAAAGCGUGCGCAGGCGGUUUGCUAAGACCGAUGUGAAAUCCCCGGGCUCAACCUGGGAACUGCAUUGGUGACUGGCAGGCUAGAGUAUGGCAGAGGGGGGUAGAAUUCCACGUGUAGCAGUGAAAUGCGUAGAGAUGUGGAGGAAUACCGAUGGCGAAGGCAGCCCCCUGGGCCAAUACUGACGCUCAUGCACGAAAGCGUGGGGAGCAAACAGGAUUAGAUACCCUGGUAGUCCACGCCCUAAACGAUGUCAACUAGUUGUGGGGAUUCAUUUCCUUAGUAACGUAGCUAACGCGUGAAGUUGACCGCCUGGGGAGUACGGUCGCAAGAUUAAAACUCAAAGGAAUUGACGGGGUCAUAGCUGUUUCCU